GACGAACGCUGGCGGCGUGCUUAACACAUGCAAGUCGAACGAAGUGGCGAACGGGUGAGUAAAGCGUAAUCAACCUGCCCUUCAGAGGGGGACAACAGUUGGAAACAACUGCUAAUACCGCAUACUGAAGGAGGGGAUUGCGUCGGAUUAGCUAGUUGGAGGGGUAACGGCCCACCAAGGCGGUGAGCAGUAGCCGGUCUGAGAGGAUGAACGGACAAAUUGGGACUGAGACACGGCCCAGACUCAUACGGGAGGCAGCAGUGGGGAAGCUGCCGCAAUGGACGAAAGUCUGACGGAGCAACGCCGCGUGAGUGAUGAGGGCCUUCGGGUUGUAAAGCUCUGUUAAUCGGGACGCGGUACCGGAAUAGAAAGCCACGGCUAACUACGUGCCAGCCGCCGCGGUAAUUC
This 408-nucleotide ribosomal RNA is filed under the name uncultured bacterium. RNAcentral describes it as "partial 16S ribosomal RNA". It matches the Rfam family "Bacterial small subunit ribosomal RNA", at positions 28 to 526 of the family's 1533-position model. The record is from RNAcentral.